This is a long non-coding RNA of Apodemus sylvaticus (European woodmouse), 719 nucleotides long. RefSeq lists it as uncharacterized. The record is from RefSeq and is a predicted model, not a curated record. The transcript has 3 exons. Lineage: Eukaryota; Metazoa; Chordata; Mammalia; Rodentia; Muridae.
AUCCGGGGUCCCGCUGCCUCCCGCGCAGGGCACGCUCCGGAUCCCGCUCGCUGCGCUCGCCACCCAUCGCGGUGACAGCCAGUGCCGCGGGACGCGUGCGCACCACCCGCCCCCUAGCUGUAACUGUGUCCUAUUGCGGCGGGCCGGCUACGUCUCCUGCGCGGGUCUGCUUUCGCUCUGGUUAACUUUCGGGUCCCGGUCUCCUCCGUCUAAGUCUGACGCCCCUUAGCGAGGUCCCGCUCCGAAUCCAGCUGUAAAAAGAAGAAAAAAAGGGAGAUCAGCAAGGCCUGCCUUGGGCCGGCCCGCCAAUCAGGAUGCGCGCGGGCGUUUUGAACGCUAGCGGUACGCGCUCCUCCGGUGCGAACAGCGCGCUGACAAGAGCCGCUGCGUGUACAGCUGACCAGGGACUGCACGCCGCUGCGGACCGGCGACAAGACAGGCCGAGAAGCGAGAAGCUCAAGUCUUGGACACUCCUUGGCCUCCCGUGAACAGGCUAGAGUUCAGGAUGACCACUGGAUCACCAGGUGGUGAUGCCUCUUUCUGUUGUCAAAGAACCAGAGAGAGACAACUGAAAGAUUUUUGCUCUUGCAAAACCUGCCUCCCGUCGGGCCCGCACACAUCCAGCUCCAGAGGGUUGCCCAGUUACAGCUCUCAGCCGCGGAGGGCACCGCGCUCGUGCGCCCUCUGCCGGUAAGGCCUGGGGACCCCGCUACCUGGAU